This 644-nucleotide ribosomal RNA is filed under the name uncultured bacterium. RNAcentral describes it as "bacterial SSU rRNA". It matches the Rfam family "Bacterial small subunit ribosomal RNA", at positions 71 to 733 of the family's 1533-position model. The record is from RNAcentral.
AAGAGAAGCUUGCUUCUCGGAUCAGUGGCGGACGGGUGAGUAACACGUGAGCAACCUGCCUUUAAGAGGGGGAUAACGUUUGGAAACGAACGCUAAUACCGCAUAACAUAGAAGAUUCGCAUGUUUCUUCUAUCAAAGAUUUAUCGCUUAAAGAUGGGCUCGCGUCUGAUUAGCUGGUUGGUGAGGUAACGGCUCACCAAGGCGACGAUCAGUAGCCGUACUGAGAGGUAGAACGGCCACAUUGGGACUGAGACACGGCCCAGACUCCUACGGGAGGCAGCAGUGGGGAAUAUUGCACAAUGGAGGGAACUCUGAUGCAGCGAUGCCGCGUGAGGGAAGAAGGUUUUAGGAUUGUAAACCUCUGUCUUCAGGGACGAUAAUGACGGUACCUGAGGAGGAAGCUCCGGCUAACUACGUGCCAGCAGCCGCGGUAAUACGUAGGGAGCGAGCGUUGUCCGGAAUUACUGGGUGUAAAGGGAGCGUAGGCGGGAUCUUAAGUCAGGUGUGAAAACUAUGGGCUCAACCCAUAGACUGCACUUGAAACUGAGGUUCUUGAGUGAAGUAGAGGCAGGCGGAAUUCCUAGUGUAGCGGUGAAAUGCGUAGAUAUUAGGAGGAACAUCAGUGGCGAAGGCGGCCUGCUGGG